NNAUAGUCUAUACAAAUAGCAGGGCCUUUCUCAAGACCCGGAGAUCAAUUUUUGGGUGCCUUCUCUGGAGAGGAGGCAG
Molecule: small nuclear RNA, 79 nt
Filed under: Gongylonema pulchrum
Lineage: Eukaryota; Metazoa; Nematoda; Chromadorea; Rhabditida; Gongylonematidae
Description: SmY spliceosomal RNA
Rfam family: SmY spliceosomal RNA
Source: Rfam by way of RNAcentral